RNAcentral lists this ribosomal RNA (264 nucleotides) under uncultured bacterium. RNAcentral describes it as "partial 16S ribosomal RNA". It matches the Rfam family "Bacterial small subunit ribosomal RNA", at positions 793 to 1055 of the family's 1533-position model. The record is from RNAcentral.
GUCCACGCCCUAAACGAUGUCUACUAGUUGUCGGGGAUUCGUUUCCUUGGUAACGCAGCUAACGCGUGAAGUAGACCGCCUGGGGAGUACGGCCGCAAGGUUAAAACUCAAAGUAAUUGACGGGGACCCGCACAAGCGGUGGAUGAUGUGGAUUAAUUCGAUGCAACGCGAAAAACCUUACCUACGCUUGACAUGCCAGAAACCCCGCAGAGAUGUGGGGGUGCCCGAAAGGGAAUCUGGACACAGGUGCUGCAUGGCUGUCGU